RNAcentral lists this ribosomal RNA (497 nucleotides) under uncultured bacterium. Its description in RNAcentral is "partial 16S ribosomal RNA". It matches the Rfam family "Bacterial small subunit ribosomal RNA", at positions 28 to 507 of the family's 1533-position model. The record is from RNAcentral.
GAUGAACGCUGGCGGCGUGCCUAAUACAUGCAAGUAGAACGCUGAAGCUUGGUGCUUGCACCGAGCGGAUGAGUUGCGAACGGGUGAGUAACGCGUAGGUAACCUGCCUCUUAGCGGGGGAUAACUAUUGGAAACGAUAGCUAAUACCGCAUAAAAGUCGAUAUCGCAUGAUAUUGAUUUGAAAGGUGCAAAUGCAUCACUAAGAGAUAGACCUGCGUUGUAUUAGCUAGUUGGUGAGGUAACGGCUCACCAAGGCGACGAUACAUAGCCGACCUGAGAGGGUGAUCGGCCACACUGGGACUGAGACACGGCCCAGACUCCUACGGGAGGCAGCAGUAGGGAAUCUUCGGCAAUGGGGGCAACCCUGACCGAGCAACGCCGCGUGAGUGAAGAAGGUUUUCGGAUCGUAAAGCUCUGUUGUAAGAGAAGAACGAGUGUGAGAGUGGAAAGUUCACACUGUGACGGUAACUUACCAGAAAGGGACGGCUAACUACGUG